CAAAUCAUCAUCCCUUGUGUAUAGUAGACAGUACUAGCUCAAGCUCCUCUACUGCUAGUAUCAGUCAAACCAGGAGAGAGACUGAAGAAGAUACAUUUAGAUCUGAUAUUGCUCAUAGAGUAAUGACAGAAUGUACUGGAAUGAUCAAGGAUUGUGGGAUUGAUAUUCACUUCUUAGUAGAUAAGUUAUUAGAACACAAAAUUGUCAAUACGAGAGAGAAAAGACGAAUAUUUGAUCAAGAAAUUGACGACAAAAAAAUGGAUCAAUUGCUUCACAUUAUUUUAAGUUCUAUUUCUAUGGAUGGAGGAGUAUUUGGUAUAUUCUUAGAUAUACUAAAAAAGGAGGAUACUCUAAGAACUAUUAAACUAGCUGAUCAACUAUUAAAAAGAUACGAAUGGAAAAAAAAUCUGUAAAUUUAUAACUAUUAUAAUUAUGCAUCAUUUAUCUUUAGUGCCGGUGUGUGUGUGUGUGUGUGUGUGUGUGUAUGUUUUGAAAUAAAAGUAUAUUUAGCAUUUUCAUUUGCUUUAAUAUCUGAUUUUAGUUUUAUCUGAUUUUUAUCUGAA
Molecule: long non-coding RNA, 563 nt
Organism: Amphimedon queenslandica
Lineage: Eukaryota; Metazoa; Porifera; Demospongiae; Haplosclerida; Niphatidae
Exons: 2
Source: RefSeq, a predicted model, not a curated record